AUACGGUGUCUUAUUUUUUUCAGCUGUUUUGAAUUUGUUUUACAGAUUACCAUCUGGGUUAGCAGCAUAUCUUUUUACUCAUAUGCUGAUAUUGCAUUUCUAAGUUCAUCUGAUCGAGGCAAAGGUAUCACUGAUCUAAAAUCUGCUCUUCAGACAAUUUUUGCUGAGACUCUUGUUGAUAGCAAGGAUGAAUUCCUUCAAAAAUUUAUGGUGGAUAACGAUUUUGUUAGAACAAACAUCUCAGAGGGAGAAGUUUUGAAGCACAAAGCUUUCAAGGAGAAGAUUUGUGAUUCUAAUCAGCAUACAGAUUCAUCUGCUUCAAAUGUUGAGGUUGUAUUUACAUUUAGGCUCAAUGUAUUGCUUUUUGGUCAA
Non-coding RNA from Vigna umbellata (rice bean), 372 nucleotides. The record is from RefSeq and is a predicted model, not a curated record. Lineage: Eukaryota; Viridiplantae; Streptophyta; Magnoliopsida; Fabales; Fabaceae.